RNAcentral lists this long non-coding RNA (636 nucleotides) under Salvia miltiorrhiza (redroot sage). Its description in RNAcentral is "long non-coding RNA (SMIL_LNC008179)". Lineage: Eukaryota; Viridiplantae; Streptophyta; Magnoliopsida; Lamiales; Lamiaceae. The record is from RNAcentral.
GACCCGGACGUAGACGGGUCUGCCCCUUCUGUUGUGUGUUCCGACGGUGACGCCGCCACCAUUGCCGCCGACGCUGACGUGGGUGUUGUUAUUGUUGUUGACGUUCACUCCGCCGCCGCCUACUCCGACGGAUGUGCUCUUGUCUUCCAGCCAUUCUGGGCGGAGGAGAUAUGAUAGUGUUAGAGAGAGAGAGUAGAAGAUAUUGUUGAUAUAUGAUAGAAUUGAUUUGCAUGUUACUGAAAUCCAGAGCAAAACUAGUUGACAUUAAUAAAAAUGGAUCAAGAAAUACUAAACAAGAUCAAAUUAAUAAUAAUAAAAAAUCCUCAGUUAUCCACCCAUAUAUACAUAUAUGUAUAUUAACAAAAACCAAAUGCUCUCUCUCUCUAAGUUAUGACUCACAGAGAGAAAUGCAAUGAAGGGCAGAAUCUUGAACUCCAUGAUCCCAAAAUGUGGAAGUUUGCUACUCAAAAUUCAAAAACAAUGAAAAGGGCUUCUUCUUCUACAAAUGAGAUGAUCUGCACACUUAUUUAUAACUCAUAAAUACACACACACUCACAUGUACGGAUAGUUAAUAAAAUGAAAGAAGGCAUAGGUAGUGAUGAAAAGAGAUGCACGUGAACUUUGAUACACCAAAAU